AGCCCCAGGAGCAGACCACUGGCACUCACCAAUGAGAACCCAGGGCCAGAAUCACCACUUCCAUCAUCCAUCAGCUCUUGCCAAGUGCCCUAUGCUUCGUGCUGGGCGCCUUGCCUCACAUGGGGACAGUUUGUCAGCAAACCAGCUUUCUCUCCUUCGGCAGGAGAAAGGAAGCGCUCCUGGGCUGCUCCUGAGCCUGGCCAUAUUAGGGCGGCUCACGUGGUAGGAGCUGGGAAACCCAGAGGUUGAUGCAGUCAGGCCACCACUGAGGUGGGCCCAGCGUCCCCAAGAUCCCAGCCAGUGAUGUCAGCUGAUGCCAUCAACAGAGCUCACCGCCCUCUUUCCCCAGGGAACGCGGGGGAAAUGAAGCUGUUACUGGAAAUGUGCCUGUCCUUUGAGCGUCUGAUGCUGAAGGUUACACAUCCAGGCCACUCGUCUCCUGACGCUUAAACACCACAUUGGCUUAGGUCUGCUUAGUCGCCAACCGCAUUAUCAAAACACGAAGAUUUCUCGUACUAGCAAAGAAGGGGCUUGUCUGUUUCUCUUCCCCACUUGAUUAAAAUACUCAUUGUAUUAACACGGCA
This is a long non-coding RNA of Mastomys coucha (southern multimammate mouse), 584 nucleotides long. RefSeq lists it as uncharacterized. The record is from RefSeq and is a predicted model, not a curated record. NCBI's taxonomy places the organism in Eukaryota, Metazoa, Chordata, Mammalia, Rodentia, Muridae. The transcript has 2 exons.